UGCCAGUUGUCAGGGUUACAACCUACCC
Molecule: non-coding RNA, 28 nt
Filed under: Mus musculus (house mouse)
Lineage: Eukaryota; Metazoa; Chordata; Mammalia; Rodentia; Muridae
Source: RNAcentral